Long non-coding RNA from Fopius arisanus, 416 nucleotides. RefSeq lists it as uncharacterized. The record is from RefSeq and is a predicted model, not a curated record. The transcript has 3 exons. Lineage: Eukaryota; Metazoa; Arthropoda; Insecta; Hymenoptera; Braconidae.
UCAACGUGUGACACCGGCUCUCAAUUAAAAACGUACCUGCAACACAAAAGUGACAAUUGAUUAAUGGAAAAUUCAUUGUUCACACGAGUGGUCACUCAUAAAAGGAUUAAUUUCUUCCAGUACUUUUGCUACUGGGUACAACUGAAAAAAGUACUUCUACUACGGUAUUAGCUCCAGUCAUACCGGAUUGUUAGAGAUUUUUCGGGGGUGCGGGUUCUAAAAACGUAUCUCCAAGUGAGGGCGCUAAUCAAUCCGUUUAAUUAGAGUCUAUUAGUAAUCAAGAGUUUAUAAUUAAAUGAGAGAAUAUGGAUAAGAUAGAAAUGUCGAGAUGAAGUCAAAUGAAGGAUAGCGUCGAAAUUUCCAGGCAGAAAUUUGAAAAACUGUUGGGAUGAGAACCUAAUGAACAGUUGGAACUG